UGGAGGUGAUGACUGAUUAUCUGAGAUACUGAUGAAAAUUAUCACAGAAAUCCUAGUUAGUCAAGUACUGAUCCAG
Molecule: small nucleolar RNA, 76 nt
Organism: Crocodylus porosus (Australian saltwater crocodile)
Lineage: Eukaryota; Metazoa; Chordata; Crocodylia; Crocodylidae
Product: small nucleolar RNA, C/D box 20
Source: Ensembl